GAUGAACGCUUGCUGUGUGGAUAAGGCAUGCAAGUCGAGGGCCCAGUUUACUGGGACCGGCGAACGAGGUAGUAACACGUAGGACUACAUACCCCAAAGUCGUGAAUAGCCUAUCGAAAGGUAGGGUAAUACACGAUAUCUCUUCGGAGGAAAGAUUUAUCGCUUUGGGAAUGGCCUGCGGGAUAUCAGCUAGUUGGUAGUGUAAUGGACUACCAAGGCUACGACGUCUAGGGGAGGUGAGAGCCUGACCCCCACCGAUGGGACUGAGACACGGCCCAUACUCCUACGGGAGGCCGCAGUCGAGAAUCUUCCACAAUGGACGAAAGUCUGAUGGAGCGACACAGCGUGAUCGAUGAAGUGCUUCGGUAUGUAAAGAUCUUUUAUUAGGGAGGAAGUUUAUUGACGUUACCUAAUGAAUAAGGGGCUGCUAAUCACG
This 436-nucleotide ribosomal RNA is filed under the name uncultured bacterium. Its description in RNAcentral is "bacterial SSU rRNA". It matches the Rfam family "Bacterial small subunit ribosomal RNA", at positions 28 to 505 of the family's 1533-position model. The record is from RNAcentral.